RNAcentral lists this ribosomal RNA (497 nucleotides) under uncultured bacterium. Its description in RNAcentral is "partial 16S ribosomal RNA". It matches the Rfam family "Bacterial small subunit ribosomal RNA", at positions 28 to 507 of the family's 1533-position model. The record is from RNAcentral.
GAUGAACGCUGGCGGCGUGCCUAAUACAUGCAAGUCGAGCGAACAGACGAGGAGCUUGCUCCUCUGACGUUAGCGGCGGACGGGUGAGUAACACGUGGAUAACCUACCUAUAAGACUGGGAUAACUUCGGGAAACCGGAGCUAAUACCGGAUAAUAUAUUGAACCGCAUGGUUCAAUAGUGAAAGACGGUUUUGCUGUCACUUAUAGAUGGAUCCGCGCCGCAUUAGCUAGUUGGUAAGGUAACGGCUUACCAAGGCAACGAUGCGUAGCCGACCUGAGAGGGGGAUCGGCCACACUGGAACUGAGACACGGUCCAGACUCCUACGGGAGGCAGCAGUAGGGAAUCUUCCGCAAUGGGCGAAAGCUUGACGGAGCAACGCCGCGUGAGUGAUGAAGGUCUUCGGAUCGUAAAACUCUGUUAUUAGGGAAGAACAAAUGUGUAAGUAACUAUGCACGUCUUGACGGUACCUAAUCAGAAAGCCACGGCUAACUAUGUG